RNAcentral lists this ribosomal RNA (257 nucleotides) under Tomopteris carpenteri. RNAcentral's name for it is "partial large subunit ribosomal RNA". It matches the Rfam family "Eukaryotic large subunit ribosomal RNA", at positions 44 to 296 of the family's 3401-position model. The record is from RNAcentral. Lineage: Eukaryota; Metazoa; Annelida; Polychaeta; Phyllodocida; Tomopteridae.
CAAUAAGCAGAGGAAAGGAAANUANCAAGGAUUCCCCUAGUAACGGCGAGUGAAGCGGGAAGAGCCCAGCACCGAAUCUUCCUCCUUUAGGUGGACGAACUGUGGUGUUUAGGACUUUCUUUUUUGCAUUGCUAUUGCGUCUGAGUCCUCCUGAUUGGGGCUAUCCCAUAGUGGGUGUAAGGCCUCUACUGACGCGGAGCUUUGCUUUUUGAAACGUCCUUGGAGUCGGGUUGUUUGGGAAUGCAGCCCAAAGUGGG